CCUACGGGUGGCAGCAGUGAGGAAUAUUGGUCAAUGGGCUUACGCCUGAACCAGCCAAGUCGCGUGAGGGAAGACUGCCCUAUGGGUUGUAAACCUCUUUUGUCGGGGAGCAAUUGCCGCUACGUGUAGCGUUAUGGAGAGUACCUGCAGAAAAAGCAUCGGCUAACUCCGUGCCAGAAGCCGCGGUAAUACGGAGGAUGCGAGCGUUAUCCGGAUUCAUUGGGUUAAAGGGGUGCGUAGGCGGACUUUUAAGUCGGCGGUAAAAUCGCGGGGCUCAACCCCGCCGGGCCGUUGGAACUGGGGAUCUUGAGUGGGGCGGAGGUAUGCGGAAUGCGUGGUGUAGCGGUGAAAUGCAUAGAUAUCACGCAGAACUCCGAUUGCGAAGGCAGCGUACCGUGGCGCGACUGACGCUGAGGCACGAAAGCGUGGGGAUCGAACAGGAUUAGAUACCCUAGUAGUC
This 460-nucleotide ribosomal RNA is filed under the name uncultured bacterium. RNAcentral describes it as "partial 16S ribosomal RNA". It matches the Rfam family "Bacterial small subunit ribosomal RNA", at positions 338 to 795 of the family's 1533-position model. The record is from RNAcentral.